GAGAACAUGAGCGAACAAGGAGGAUAGACGAAUGGAGAUUGCUCCUCCAGGACAUUUCUAGCUUCUCCCAAGUGUUCAUGGCCCUUGGGGCGCUCUUACCUGAAGAAGCCUUUCUGAGACUUCCUGGUGGACGCUGAUUUCCUUCGGGUCUUCUGGCUGAUCUGGCGCCGUCUAGAAGAUGUCGACGUUGGAUCGGUCAUGUCUCCCGUAAUUCAGCUCAGCGUGCUUUAUUCAAACUGUCAGCUUUUCACCUGGCCGGCCGUUCACCUGCGUCGCUGUAGAAAAAACUCCGCUUUUCAUCUGAUCGCAACGGUCAAAGGCAAGCACCGACAGAGAUGGCUCGCGUUUGCAUAAAACUUUCCUCUUCUCAAAUGUCUCAAGAAGAAUUGAAACACUGAAGAAUCUACCAAGGAACAAGAUUAUCGAGGAGCUUUUUUAAUUAGUAGAAUUAAAUCAUUCGCCUCUUCCUAGUGCAAUUUUCCUGUUUUUUUAUUUUCACUGUUUCGUCGAUCUACGUUUUAUCUUUGUCUGUUUCUUAAGAAAUUUCUAUUGCGAAUUUUGUUCUAUUCAUUUGAGAAGAAAGAGAACUCGGUGUUGCAAUUUUAUCGUUGAUUUAAUUAAUAUGAAAGAAUAUGGAAUUGGUGAAAGAAACAUUGUAUUGAUUAUUUCGCUUGAACAGGUGCAGGAAUAACAUAGAACAUGAAUGAAUCGACAAUGACAAUUCCACGGAUGUAUCGAAAAUGCAAGUUGAAAUGCAAAAUAAUCUUCUAUUAUCGAACUACGCUAAAGCUGAAGAUUCUCGAGAUACACUUGAGAGCAAACUUAAUUGAUACUCAUGAGUUUCGAAAUUUCUGCUAAAAUUCCUCUGAGGGCAUCGACGAAGGAAGUCUACAUUUAAAAAAGACAAGUUUAUCACGAGGAAUAAAGGAACGCAUUCUAUUCGUCAAAGUGUCUUUUCAUGGACUGCUUAAAUUUUCUCGUAUCUAAAACCUUCAAAGUAUCACAUACCAGACAUGGGAAUUGAUCACUGUGUAUAAUAAUUCUUUCAAAAAAAGAAUAUAAUCCUACAUAACAAUUUCUGUCUUCUAAGACAAUGUUUAUAUCCUUCUAUGUAUAGAAUUCUUGCCAAGGCAACAAGUUCCCAACAGGAGAUAUAACGUUAAGGCAUCAAAAUUCCUAUCUCUGUCUGCGAGGCAGUGUUGAAAUGGAACAAGGAAUCGGAUGCAUCCUCCAGCGAUCCAGUGAAAAGUUGAUCCCUUAAAGAUCCGGGCACGCCCGGGAGCAACGAGCUCCGAUUCAAAGCUUAAAAAAGCUACUUACUU
Long non-coding RNA from Bombus impatiens (common eastern bumble bee), 1322 nucleotides. RefSeq lists it as uncharacterized. NCBI's taxonomy places the organism in Eukaryota, Metazoa, Arthropoda, Insecta, Hymenoptera, Apidae. The transcript has 4 exons. The record is from RefSeq and is a predicted model, not a curated record.